This is a long non-coding RNA of Micropterus salmoides (largemouth bass), 1255 nucleotides long. RefSeq lists it as uncharacterized. Lineage: Eukaryota; Metazoa; Chordata; Actinopteri; Centrarchiformes; Centrarchidae. The record is from RefSeq and is a predicted model, not a curated record. The transcript is spliced from 4 exons.
CACUAGCAGUAUCACCAGCAGUAUCACCAGCAGUAUCACCAGCAGUAUCACCAGCAGUAUCACCAGCAGUAUCACCAGCAGUAUCACCAGCAGUAUCACCAGCAGUAUCCACAUCUCUGUUUUUUUCAACCCAGUCAACUACUGCAUCUGCAGAGAGUCCUGGUGGCCCUGACGUCGUCAUCACUGUGAUCGUCUGUGUAGCUAUGCUGCUGCUGCUGUUUGUGCUGAUUUUGAUCCUAAUCUACGCAUGAUUUUCACAUUUAAAGAACACAAGAAAUGGAGCAGCAGCACAGCACAAAAAGGAUCAUGUCUAUGAGGAGAUACAGCAGACGCCAAACUCAGGAAAUAAGAUGAACUCGAUUUAUGCCACUGCCAACUUUCCCACAAACCCGUCUGCCUCGCAGCAUUACUCCAGCAUCAACUUCCAAACAGCUCUGACAGAGUUGGUGGUGAGGCAGUGAUCCUCAAACCCAACUCUGCUGCCUACGAAUAUUCUACUGUGAAGUAAAAUCCAGCCUACUGUACAGUCAGCCAGCCGUCCAGCUCUUCAGAGGAUCCUCUCUACACAACAGUCAACAAGCCACAGCAGCACUGAGCAAAGAUCAGCCCUGUCAAUUUAUGACAUUUACUACAUGUAUGGUCAAAAUUUCAGGUCAUUCAUUGCUGAUGUGGUUGUUUACAAUGAAUCCAGCUCAGACUUCAGGAACUUCACCAAGAUAUUCAGAUGUUGGACGCUGUCAACUUAAAUCCUAUCAAUCCAGAGACACACGAUUCACUUCAUCAUCCACAUUGUUUGAGUCACCAAGGUUUGAACAGGACUUUUGCACCGAUCUGUAAUUACUAGAGGAGUCUUUCUUGUCUUGCUUCUGAAGCUCAGCUUUAUAUUACAGCUGAUUAUUAUCUCAUUACCUGAUUUAACUUAUCACAGAUACUGUAUAUUGUUGACCUGGUCUGAAUCAGAGUCCCAGAAAUAAAAGAAAAUCCUUUCCCUACAAUACUAUGAUAUUUACAUAUGAAAUUUACAUAUGAGAGACCUGGGUUCAAUCCCCCUCUGUGACCCAUCUGCCAUUGUGUCCCUGAGCAAGACACCUAGUUGCUCGAGAGGCGUGCAACCUCUGACAUAAAAAAGCUUUGGAUAAAAGCGACUUAAUUUAAAGAAACUGUUUUAAAACUGGUAGUUUGAGUUAUUAUAUUAUAUAUUUCAUAGUUUUAUGUACAAGAAAACAAUCAUUAAAAUGUUGCUUAUUAUUUACAA